UACGAGGGGUCCUAGCGUUGUUCGGAAUUAUUGGGCGUAAAGAGUAUGUAGGCGGCUAGAUAAGUCAGGUGUGAAAUCCCCGGGCUCAACCCGGGAAGUGCAUUUGAUACUGUCUAGCUUGAGUAUGGAAGAGGGUAGUGGAAUUCCUGGUGUAGUGGUGAAAUACGUAGAUAUCAGGAGGAACACCGGUGGCGAAGGCGGCUACCUGGUCCUAUACUGACGCUGAGAUACGAAAGCGUGGGGAGCAAACAGG
This 253-nucleotide ribosomal RNA is filed under the name uncultured bacterium. Its description in RNAcentral is "partial 16S ribosomal RNA". It matches the Rfam family "Bacterial small subunit ribosomal RNA", at positions 524 to 776 of the family's 1533-position model. The record is from RNAcentral.